GACGAACGCUGGCGGCGUGCUUAACACAUGCAAGUCGAGCGAGGCCCUUCCUUCGGGAAGGUGUCCUAGCGGCGAACGGGUGAGUAACACGUGGGCAACCUGCCCUCAGCUCUGGGAUAACUCCGGGAAACCGGGCUAAUACCGGAUACGACCUCUAAGGGCAUCCGAAGAGGUGGAAAGUUUUUCGGCUGAGGAUGGGCCCGCGGCCUAUCAGCUUGUUGGUGGGGUGACGGCCUACCAAGGCGACGCGGGUAGCCGGCCUGAGAGGGUGACCGGCCACCACUGGGACUNAGGACACGGCCCAGACUCCUACGGGAGGCAGCAGUGGGGAAAUAUUGCGCAAUGGGGCGAAAAGCCUGACGCAGCGACGCCGCGUGAGGGACGAA
RNAcentral lists this ribosomal RNA (386 nucleotides) under uncultured bacterium. RNAcentral describes it as "bacterial SSU rRNA". It matches the Rfam family "Bacterial small subunit ribosomal RNA", at positions 28 to 412 of the family's 1533-position model. The record is from RNAcentral.